Molecule: ribosomal RNA, 468 nt
Filed under: uncultured diatom
Lineage: Eukaryota; Bacillariophyta
Description: SSU rRNA
Rfam family: Bacterial small subunit ribosomal RNA
Source: RNAcentral
GCCUAAAGAGAAGCUUGCGGCUGAUUAGCUUGUUGGUGAGGUAAUAGCUCACCAAGGCGACGAUCAGUAUCUGGUUCGAGAGGACGAUCAGACACACUGGAACUGAGACACGGUCCAGACUCCUACGGGAGGCAGCAGUAGGGAAUUUUCCGCAAUGGGCGAAAGCCUGACGGAGCAAUACCGCGUGAGGGAUGACGGCCUAUGGGUUGUAAACCUCUUUUUUCAGGGAGGAACAAAUGACGUGUACCUGAAGAAUAAGCAUCGGCUAACUCCGUGCCAGCAGCCGCGGUAAGACGGAGGAUGCAAGUGUUAUCCGGAAUCACUGGGCGUAAAGCGUCUGUAGGUGGUCCAAUAAGUCAACUGUUAAAUCUUGAGGCUCAACCUCAAAACCGCAGUCGAAACUAUUAGACUAGAGUAUAGUAGGGGUAAAGGGAAUUUCCAGUGGAGCGGUGAAAUGCGUAGAUAUUG